UACGUAGGGGGCAAGCGUUAUCCGGAUUUACUGGGUGUAAAGGGAGCGUAGACGGAAUAGCAAGUCUGAUGUGAAAGGCUGGGGCUUAACCCCAGGACUGCAUUGGAAACUGUUGUUCUAGAGUGCCGGAGAGGUAAGCGGAAUUCCUAGUGUAGCGGUGAAAUGCGUAGAUAUUAGGAGGAACACCAGUGGCGAAGGCGGCUUACUGGACGGUAACUGACGUUGAGGCUCGAAAGCGUGGGGAGCAAACAGGAUUAGAUACC
Molecule: ribosomal RNA, 263 nt
Filed under: uncultured bacterium
Lineage: Bacteria
Description: partial 16S ribosomal RNA
Rfam family: Bacterial small subunit ribosomal RNA
Source: RNAcentral